UACGGAGGGGACUAGCGUUGUUCGGAAUUAUUGGGCGUAAAGGGCGCGUAGGCGGCUAGAUGUGUCAAAGGUGAAAUCCCUCGGCUCAACUGAGGAACUGCCUUUGAAACUGUCUGGCUUGAGGCCGGGAGAGGGUAGCGGAAUUCCCGGUGUAGCGGUGAAAUGCGUAGAUAUUGGGAGGAACACCAGCGGCGAAGGCGGCUACCUGGACCGGUUCUGACGCUGAGGCGCGAAAGCGUGGGUAGCAAACAGG
Molecule: ribosomal RNA, 253 nt
Filed under: uncultured bacterium
Lineage: Bacteria
Description: partial 16S ribosomal RNA
Rfam family: Bacterial small subunit ribosomal RNA
Source: RNAcentral